RNAcentral lists this ribosomal RNA (2425 nucleotides) under human gut metagenome. RNAcentral's name for it is "bacterial LSU rRNA". It matches the Rfam family "Bacterial large subunit ribosomal RNA", at positions 421 to 2823 of the family's 2925-position model. The record is from RNAcentral.
GACACGUGGUAUCCUGUCUGAAUAUGGGGGGACCAUCCUCCAAGGCUAAAUACUCCUGACUGACCGAUAGUGAACCAGUACCGUGAGGGAAAGGCGAAAAGAACCCCGGCGAGGGGAGUGAAAUAGAACCUGAAACCGUGUACGUACAAGCAGUGGGAGCCUCUUUUAUGGGGUGACUGCGUACCUUUUGUAUAAUGGGUCAGCGACUUAUAUUUUGUAGCAAGGUUAACCGAAUAGGGGAGCCGUAGGGAAACCGAGUCUUAACUGGGCGUCAAGUUGCAAGGUAUAGACCCGAAACCCGGUGAUCUAGCCAUGGGCAGGUUGAAGGUUGGGUAACACUAACUGGAGGACCGAACCGACUAAUGUUGAAAAAUUAGCGGAUGACUUGUGGCUGGGGGUGAAAGGCCAAUCAAACCGGGAGAUAGCUGGUUCUCCCCGAAAGCUAUUUAGGUAGCGCCUCGUGAACUCAUCUUCGGGGGUAGAGCACUGUUUCGACUAGGGGGUCAUCCCGACUUACCAACUCGAUGCAAACUACGAAUACCGAAGAAUGUUAUCACGGGAGACACACGGCGGGUGCUAACGUCCGUCGUGAAGAGGGAAACAACCCAGACCGCCAGCUAAGGUCCCAAAGUCAUAGUUAAGUGGGAAACGAUGUGGGAAGGCAUAGACAGCCAGGAUGUUGGCUUAGAAGCAGCCAUCAUUUAAAGAAAGCGUAAUAGCUCACUGGUCGAGUCGGCCUGCGCGGAAGAUGUAACGGGGCUAAACUAUGCACCGAAGCUGCGGCAGCGACACUUAGGUGUUGUUGGGUAGGGGAGCGUUCUGUAAGCCGUUGAAGGUGGCUCGUGAGGGUUGCUGGAGGUAUCAGAAGUGCGAAUGCUGACAUAAGUAACGAUAAAGCGGGUGAAAAGCCCGCUCGCCGGAAGACCAAGGGUUCCUGUCCAACGUUAAUCGGGGCAGGGUGAGUCGACCCCUAAGGCGAGGCCGAAAGGCGUAGUCGAUGGGAAACAGGUUAAUAUUCCUGUACUCGGUGUUACUGCGAAGGGGGGACGGAGAAGGCUAGGCUAUCCGGGCGACGGUUGUCCCGGUUUAAGCGUGUAGGGGGAAAGCGUUGGUAAAUCCGCGCUUUUAUUAACCCUGAGGCGUGAUGACGAGUCACUACGGUGAUGAAGUAGUUGAUGCCAAGCUUCCAGGAAAAGCCUCUAAGCUCUAGGUAACAUUGAAUCGUACCCCAAACCGACACAGGUGGUCAGGUAGAGAAUACCAAGGCGCUUGAGAGAACUCGGGUGAAGGAACUAGGCAAAAUGGUGCCGUAACUUCGGGAGAAGGCACGCUGGCGCGUAGGUGAAGUCCCUUGCGGAUGGAGCUGAAGCCAGUCGAAGAUACCAGCUGGCUGCAACUGUUUAAUAAAAACACAGCACUGUGCAAACACGAAAGUGGACGUAUACGGUGUGACGCCUGCCCGGUGCUGGAAGGUUAAUUGAUGGGGUCAGCCGCAAGGCGAAGCUCUUGAUCGAAGCCCCAGUAAACGGCGGCCGUAACUAUAACGGUCCUAAGGUAGCGAAAUUCCUUGUCGGGUAAGUUCCGACCUGCACGAAUGGCGUAAUGAUGGCCAGGCUGUCUCCACCCGAGACUCAGUGAAAUUGAACUCGCUGUGAAGAUGCAGUGUACCCGCGGCAAGACGGAAAGACCCCGUGAACCUUUACUAUAGCUUGACACUGAACAUUGAGCCUUGAUGUGUAGGAUAGGUGGGAGGCUUUGAAGCGUGGACGCCAGUCUGCGUGGAGCCAACCUUGAAAUACCACCCUUUAAUGUUUGAUGUUCUAACUCCGGUCCCUAAUCGGGAUUGAGGACAGUGUCUGGUGGGUAGUUUGACUGGGGCGGUCUCCUCCUAAAGAGUAACGGAGGAGCACGAAGGUUAGCUAAUCACGGUCGGACAUCGUGAGGUUAGUGCAAUGGCAUAAGCUAGCUUGACUGCGAGAGUGACGGCUCGAGCAGGUACGAAAGUAGGUCAUAGUGAUCCGGUGGUUCUGAAUGGAAGGGCCAUCGCUCAACGGAUAAAAGGUACUCCGGGGAUAACAGGCUGAUACCGCCCAAGAGUUCAUAUCGACGGCGGUGUUUGGCACCUCGAUGUCGGCUCAUCACAUCCUGGGGCUGAAGUAGGUCCCAAGGGUAUGGCUGUUCGCCAUUUAAAGUGGUACGCGAGCUGGGUUUAGAACGUCGUGAGACAGUUCGGUCCCUAUCUGCCGUGGGCGUUGGAAGAUUGAGAGGGGCUGCUCCUAGUACGAGAGGACCGGAGUGGACGCAUCACUGGUGUUCGGGUUGUCAUGCCAAUGGCAUUGCCCGGUAGCUAAAUGCGGAAAAGAUAAGCGCUGAAAGCAUCUAAGCGCGAAACUUGCCUCGAGAUGAGUCUUCCCUGAGACCUUGA